AGUUGACACUUAGAAAGUCAUGUGAUCUGUGUUCUCUAAAACAAGGAUGUGAUACUAAAAGCUAAACAUCUGGGAUUUAGACAGCAUACUAAUGUUUCAGUACCGAUAUUCUGACAUUGAUCAUUCGGUGAAUAUUAUUUACGCUGUUCUUCUUUUGUGGAUUCUGGUUAUACCAUGUAACGUUAGUGUUCAUGGAACGCACGUCUGGCCAGUGCCUUACAAGAGACUUGACAGACGUCCAGAUGUUGAACCUUACUGCCAGGCUUUAUAUCCAUUCUGCCCCACUGGAGAUCCAGACGGCCAGAUACCAUGCAUGAAAGCUUCUGAUACCAUCUCAGUGUUCAGGCUUCAGGCUCCUGUGUGGGAGUUUAAAUAUGGUGACAUGUUGGGAAAGUUUCAUAUCAUGCAUGAUGCCAUUGGCUUUGCAAGUGCGGACACUGGAAGAAACUUUACUAUGGAGUGGUAUGAGCUAUUCCAGCUUGGGAAUUGCACUUUUCCACAUGAAAGAGAAAAUGUAAGUGCACCAUUUUGGUGUAACCAAGGAGCUGCAUGCUUCUAUGAAGGAAUAGAUGACAUACACUGGAAACAGAAUGGGACUCUGGAGAAAAUAGGAGAGAUUUCAGGUGAGAUGUUUAAUGAGAUGGCACGGUGGGUUCAGGACGACAAUGAAACAGGUGUAUAUUAUGAGACUUGGACAGUGAAAACAGACCCUGGAGCCAAUGCUACAACAUGGUUUGAAUCCUACGAUUGUUCCCAGUUUGUGCACCGUACAUAUAGGAAAUUAUUUGAGCUAGGUGCCGUUCUGUUGAGCAAAACCCAAACCAAUUAUACAAAGAUCUAUUUGUACAGUGGAGAGCCUGUCUAUUUGGGAGAUGAUGCUAUUUUUCAACAGUCUUCAACAAAAGAUCUUGCUACAGAUAUCAAAAAGUUCUAUCAUUCAUUUCGCCCUCACCAGUCAGUUUUGGAAGUUAUUAUUAGUGUCUUUGAAGCUUAUGAAGAGACAAUCCUCGAGAAGACAUUCUAUUUGUACUACAACUCUGCAUAUUGGAAAUUGCAGAUGAAACAUCCUUACUUUAGAAUAACCUACAAGGAGAUUCCUUUACCGUAAUUCCAUACCGUAAUGCUGAAUCUUUGCUACUAAACUUUUAUUUUCUAUAAAAAAAUUAUUUUCAUUGUCACCACCACAUUAUCACCAGAUAACUUGGCAUAAUAAUAGCAGUGUUUACCCAUAUUGAUUAGUACAUUGUUUACCAAAUACUGAUUUGUGAACUUUAAAAUAUGGUCUAAUGUAAUAAUGUUGUUCUUGUUGCUUUAACUCUUGCUGUAAAUGUGAUUUGAUAUCAUUGAACAACAUUCAGAAAAGUCUGCAUAAAUGUUUAGUAUGCCUUUAUUUAAACAUCAGAUACCUUAUCAUGAUUUACAAUGCAAAUAAAUGCAAUCCUUCUGAUUAAAAUUUUAAUAAGCAAAACAAUGCUCAUUUGAUAUUCCUGCGAAACUACUAAGCAUUUACAAAAGAAGGCUUGGUUUAACUCAACUCAACUUUAUUUAUAUAACGCUUUUUACAAUUUUCAUUGUUACAAAGCAGCUGUACAUGAGACAUAUUGACUAUAAGCAAAACAAUUAAAGUUGUACCUGUAAAAACAAGAAAAAGGUGAAAACCAUUUACUGUCAUACAGAAAACCAAGUUUUUGUUUUAAAAAUUAACUAAUGACAGAACAUCUCACCUGCAAAUAAUAGUGAAUUUUAUCCAGAAAAUAAUAUCCAAAAAAUGCAUAUACUGUACACUGUAAACCCCAAUGUUGUCAUUAAUAAAGACAUUAAGUUAUCAUAGCUUAACAUUACUUAAAAUACCACGUUUUGGAAUCAAAACUGCAAAUAUGUUUAAUAAAAUUAUUUGGCAGCAAAAACCUUUCGAAUUAGGAUUAUAAGUGUUAUGAACUCAAAAUUGUGAGUUAUUUAAAUUAUUUUAUAAUUAUUUGUUUAAAAUGAUUGGUCAUUUGAAAUUAUGCCUUGAGGAACGCGCUGAUUGGUCGGUAUUACACAAGGCGAUAAUUUUUUGGUCGUUGUGAAUUUGAUGAGGAGAAUCGGGCAUGUCACUAGAGGGAAGAACUAUGUAAAACGUGAAUUUUGACUGGUAAGUACAGAUUAAAACGCAUACACUUUCCUUAAUUGCAUCACACGUUUUAUUGUAGUAUUAUUAGCAUGUAUGUAUGUUUUAACACUUUCCCGUUUUACUCCCUCAGAAGCAUUAACAAAUAGGCUGUCGCCGCGAAGAACGUUAGGCCGAAAAAGAGCGUCGCUGUGAGGACUCACUAAAGAACGCUUAUAAGUUAAAGGUAAAAUACAUGUGUAAAUUUUGCUUAAAAUUUUUGCUUAGUUGCCUUAAAACGAUUUUGCAGGUUAUAAAUACUUUCCGGUUUUCUGCAGUGGUACUUAGUACUUACGUUAGCGGAUAGGGGUCAUUGUGAAGUAGGCAGGCAAAGAGACCUCGUAAUAGGCUCACCGAAGAACUCUUGUAAGUUAAUUGUAAAUAAUAAUGAUUGGUAAAUAAUUGUUCAUAAUUGUUCUUGCUUAGUUGCCUAACGUAAAAGUCACAGCCGAAUCGCACAGGAAUAGUAAUAUAUGGGGACCUUGUGUGAUUUAGAAAUUACCUCCCCACAUAUGUAUUUCAUGUGGCGCAUUUGCACGGGAUAAGCGAAGCCUGUGAUUUUACUAAAAUUUACGGAAUUUCCCGAAUGUGAUGGCAAGGCUUUGCGUAUAGUUUUUGUGUGUAUAAAUAUAUAUGAGUACAUUGUAUGGUGUAUAAUGAUAUAUCACCGUGCCUGUCAGCAUUUGAGACCUGCGUUCGUGAUAUUCCUAAAAUCGUACGUAAUCUUCUAAUAUUCCUCUGUCCGGUUCGUGUUAUGGGAGUUUUCAUGAGAAAUAACAAAACUGCAUAACGGUAUAACCCAUAAAACAUUUCAACACAGCCUCCAUUAUUCGCUCAUUGGAGACAACAUACCGUCGUCAGGUACCAAUAGCGUCUGGCUGCAGACGAGAUGCACUCUCAGACACAUGCACUCUCAGCCGCACAUGCGCACUCAGACACAUGCACUCUCAGGCGCAUACACUCGGACAUAGGCCACUUGUAAGUAUUUUUAUUCAUUUCGUACAAGAUUAAGUUGAAGUAAAAGUGUUGUUUUUAAUUAUCAGGUAAAUGUUAUUGAAAACGAUCCUGAUAUUUAACGUUAUCCUAUAUAUCUCGCAGGCACAGGCCCCUCGACGUUGUUAGAGGGAGCCCUUACGAAAAUUGACCAUGGUUUUACUACAGUUAAAACCAAAAAACAUGGUUACUGUAGUAAAACAAUGGUUAUCACAAAAUAACCAUGGUUUUGAAAACCAUGUUUUUGUAAAAACCAUAGUAAACGAUGGUAGCUGUAGUAAAAUCAUGGUUGUGCCCCAAGUAAUCAAUGCACCAAAAAACCAUGGUUACUACACUUGUACCACAAAAAAAACAUGGUUUAUUUUCGUAAGGGAGGGUUCAGUGACUGCUAAAAAAAAGUAAGUAUAUUUAUUUAAAAAUAUUAAAAAUAUUGAGUGUUUCACUGGCUCUGGGCUGUUGUUUUAAAAAGUGACAGGGAAGUUUUAAUAAGACUAGCUUUAUUUAAUUAUUGUUUAGACGAAGUGUUACUUAACAUGAUUUAAUAUGAAGUGGGAAUCUUUAAAAGAACAAGUCAUUUUUAUAUUGUUAACAAUGGUUCUUUAAAACGAGAUAUACAUGGAAUACGACAAAAAUGUAAAGAAUAUAAUACACAUCAGAAUGAUUUUCAUUUCUGUUUUUUCAAUUUAUGCUUACAGAUGCUGUUCAGGAAGUUCAGGCUGACUGGAAAGUGCAUAUAAAAAAUGCAAUCAUUAUUCAAGGUAAAGAUUAGUGUAUUUCAAAAUGAUUACAAUGUGUCUGUUGCCGUUCAAGACAUAUUGCACACUUACUGUCGCACACACUAUCAAACUCUCUCAUACACUAAUACUCAUACACAUAUAACUAAAGUCAUUUAUGCUCACACUACCAAACCAUAAGCGUAAAAAUGGCAUGUUGUCAUGACAAACUAGGAUGUAUUUUUUCCAAUAACAGGAAGAGCCUUAAGUUUCCACGUACAGGUAACUUGAACACAUUACUUUGUAGCAGCUCCUCAGGAAAAGUACCAGUUACUUUUAAAAAAAAUGUAGUACUCAAGGAAACAGGCUCAAACUUCAUAUUUGCUUUAUUAGGUAGAUGAAACCAGUGUUUUCACCGUUGAGUUUCCACCGGAGAAACAGGUGGUUCAGUCUCCACGAAAAGUGCGUGUCAUGACGGAUCUUAAGACUGCCUGGCAGUGUUGCUUGGAGAACUCUGGGGAUCUUCUUGUCUCACUUCAGCUAUCUCGUAUACUGUGCAUGGAGGAUGAAGAAGCUGCUGAGGCCUUGGAACGGUUCUUCAGUGCAGAGUUCAUAGAGGACAAUCUUGUAGAGCCACUGAUAUUUGUUUUUACAUUUAUGCAGGACAUUUUGGUGCUGCCCUUGUCCACCCUCCAAGAACUGUAUACAUCUAGAGCAGGGAUGGGGAACCUUGAUCCUGGAAGGCCACUGUCCUGCAGUGUUUAUCUCCAACCUAAUCAAACACACCUGAACCGGCUCAUUGAAGUCUUCAGGAUUACUAGAAACUUCACGACAGACGUUUGUUUGAGCUUGUUGGUGCCAAACUCUUCAGGACAGUGGCCCUCCAAGAUCAAGGUUCCCCACCCCUGAUUUAGAGUAAGAAAAGGACUGUGAAAAUGACUAUGGACCCCUCAUCAUCCAAGCCAGCGUCUGGUCGGCGCUACAGAGCAAUAAGCACCAAAACAACCAGACACAAAAAAAUGUUCUUCCCUCACGCAAUCUACGUCAUGAAGUUAAAUGUUCUACCCACUGUGCAAUUAAUAGCAUUGCGCAAUAGUAAGCAAAUGUAAUACUAAUUAUAUCCACCUGAUAAUAGUCUAUUUUUAUAUCAUUUUUGUGUAAAUUAUUUUUCGUUAUGCUGUAUAUAGCACACAUUUUGUAGAUACAAUAAAUUUGUUAUGGUGAAAGAAACAUCCAUUGCACAAAAACAGCAGCACACAGAGUCCAUAACACAAUACAAUAGACAGGUUGUCUAUAUAUAAAAAAGAAUAGAAAAGAAUAUAAAUAAGAUGGAGUGUAAAACUAUGCAUGUAUAUUGUAUGUGCAGAUAUACUUCACAAUAAAGCUCUUUCUGAUUCUAUUUUUUAGAGAAUGUGGUGGACAACAUGCAUCUCGGAAUCUUUUGUCAAGCACGAAAUUGAAAAACAUAGUUGUUAAUUUUUUUAACGUUAUGAUUUUAUAUUAUACAUGGAAAAGUUUUAUUUAAUAAUGUAAUAAUGUUAAUUAGUAAUGUAUUGCCAUUAUAACCUUUUAUGUAGGCACAUAUGCGAAGUAAUCAGACAUUAUUAGUGUAGAUGUUCAAUAAUGUCUUUCAGGUAGAAUUUUGUAUAAAUCUGCGCCAUGACCUGAAUCGCCAGUCUUUACGGUACUCUUAAGCCUGGCUCAGACUACAGGAGUUUUAAAAUCCUGACAGAUUUCAAAUUCUGGUUGCAGCACACACAUAAGGAGAAUCUUAACAGAUUCUCUUAUUUAAAAUCUUAAACCUGGCUCAGACUACAGGAGUUUUAAAAUCCGGAAAGAUUAAAAAUUCUGGUUGCAGCACACACAUAAGGAGAAUCUUGACAGAUUCUCUUAUUUAAAAUCUUAAACAAGCUCACACUCAUCAGUGUACAACUAAAUUACACAUAUUUUACAUAUCCAUAGGAUAUGCAGUUUUGUAAAAGGAGCUAAUAGUAACCGUUUUAAUGGGUUUACUAUUUUUAGAUGUUGACAUCACAUCUACAUUUGAAUCUCUUUUUCAAGCACUACAAAAAUAGGUUUGCCCUUUGUAAACUUGCAUUUAUGAAUGUGAAAUGUCCAGAUAAGAAAACGUUGGGGCGUAAAGUUGUGUUUAUAAAUAAGCCUAAAGGUAGCAAGUGCAAAAAUAAAAAUUUAGAAAGUUUGAUUGGAAGUUUUUUUAUUUCAUAAUUGCACAUCAAAAGACAUUCUAAGACACCCAAACUACAGG
Triplophysa rosa is the source of this 6121-nucleotide RNA transcript. RefSeq lists it as uncharacterized. NCBI's taxonomy places the organism in Eukaryota, Metazoa, Chordata, Actinopteri, Cypriniformes, Nemacheilidae. The transcript has 5 exons. The record is from RefSeq and is a predicted model, not a curated record.